Molecule: long non-coding RNA, 2253 nt
Organism: Hyla sarda
Lineage: Eukaryota; Metazoa; Chordata; Amphibia; Anura; Hylidae
Exons: 3
Source: RefSeq, a predicted model, not a curated record
UUUGCCAUUAUGCAUAUGAAUAGAGAUCCUGAGUUUGUCUCGUGUGGAUGCAUGUCUUGAGUAAAAAAGAUACACAGAUUAAUGCAGUCAUUGUCAAAGACGCGUCAACCAAUGAAAAUAUUGCUAGAAAUGCAUCCUGAGUAAUCUAUCUUAAAAGGAGAUGUCCCAUAAAGAAUAUUGUUUAUACUUAAAUCCAGAGCCAAAUCAUGAGGAAGAAGACUGCAAUGCUUUCGAAAUGUGUUGUCCUUUUAUCAAUAAACCUUUUAGCUUUCCUCCUGUCUCCGAGACAACUUAAUUCUCCAUCCAGUCAUAGCGGGAAGCAUUGUUUUUCCUCUCCUAUACUGUAAAUGUAUAGAGGUGGACACACAUGCUUAAUUUUUCUUCUCUCUCUUAUCUACUGUGUAUGUCGAGAGAUUCCAGGUGAGGUGAGCCAAAUGCCUCUGAAGAAACAGCAUCUUCUCUGCAUUUCAAACAUGAAAUGCUAUUCUGCAUUUUUUUUUACCCUUUCAGAGGUCAUUCUACAUGGAGUGGUAAUAAUGAUCUCUGCUGUGAUGGUGGAUUCAGUGUUAUCUAUCUAUUGGUGUCACCGUUCACUGUACUCCUGUCUGUGCUUAGAAGUAAGGCGGGGUGUAAUGGAUGUCGGUGUGAGCAGACGCAAGCUCUAGGAGCUCCCGCUACCCUGCAUAAAUUUACCCUGUAUGCUUACCCUGCAGCAGCUGGUAUCUGUCCUAAGUGUAUCUGUCCUUUAGUACUGCAGUUUUAGUCUUCUCCAGCGUUCUUUUAACGCUCCAUAGUUGUAACGUUUAGGGUCUAGGUCUGCACCGUUUUAGGGACUUGCAGUUUUCUAUGUCCCGUUUAGUGUUAGACAGGGUGUUAUUGGGGAUGUUUUUUGUUCUGCCUUAUUGCCGUUGUUUUUUGUUUGUGCCGUUUGUCUUUUUGUUGGUUGUAUGUGGUAUGUAUGGUCCCGGAGCUCUGCCCUUCUCUGUCCAUAUCCUCCUGUGGGUUUUCUUGUGUGUACGCAAAGUUAUUUUCCGCAAUGGGGGCUCUGAAGGUGGUUAGCUGGAAUGUACAGGGCCUAAAUUCUAAGUUUAAAAGGGGCUUGUGUCUGGACUUUGUGAAACGCCAGUCUCCUCAAAUGAUAUGCCUGCAGGAGACUUAUGUUACGGGUCAGAAAGUUAUUUCUCUAAAAAGGGCCGGAAUAGCUAAGGGAUAUCAUGCCUCAAAUUCUAAUUAUACUCGGAGUGUCUCUAUGUUAAUCACCAAUUCCCUGCUGUUGACGGUUACACAGGAAGCUUGUGAUCACUGGGAGAUUUGUGAUUUUGCACUGUUCACUGGGUUCCUUCUCCUUUGCUCUUGUCUCUGUUUAUGUGCCUCCCCCCUUUCAGGUCUCAGUACUGGAGCUCAUUACUAACCUUCUGCUGUCUUUUCCCUCUGAUCCUAUUCUUUUCAUAGGUGAUUUCCAUGUAGCUCCUGAUCCAUUGCUUGAUCGCACCACUGCUGUUGACCCUGGCUCAUCGUCCUUUAACACCUGGCGCUUGGCGUUGGGCCUGACCGACCUCUGGAGAUGGAAGUACCCGGCCUUUUCUUCUACUUCUAUUCUAUAGGUUAUUCUCUCGAAUUGACAUCCGUUGGCAUCAGAGGACCUCCUCCUGGCGUUGGUCUACGCAGCAUGGUGGAUCAAUCUGGAUCUGUCGAACUCGGUGACGGCCUUAGCUGGAGCGAUGAUGGGUUUCUAUGAAGUGCUUACUAACAUACUCUACAGGUAAUUUUCUGAUGACACAUAACCUUUAAAAAGUGCAAAUGAAAUCGUAGAAGCAGAGAAGAAACAAAACUAGGCAUGCAUGUCCAACUCGCCACUUUCUGGAAUCGAUAUAGUGGAGCUAUUAAAAAGAAAGAGCAGGUAACGCUACAAUAAUAUCAUUCCUAGAAUAUCUAGUAAUAGCAGCAUGUUUGUUUUGCUGGUGCACCUACUGAUACUCAGAAUAAAAGAGCGUUGAUGCUGACAAGUUAUUCCUGCACAGCCAUGGCCCUAGUCACUUUGGAACUAUAAAUACAGAUCCAUACAUACAAAGCAAGAGGCAGAUGGUGGCUGGGACGCUGUGCAGGGAAUAAACAAAAUUGGCCCUUAUUCUUUUUAUUUUAUGACUGGUGGCUGUUGCAAAGGGCAUACCUCACUGAUCAAAAUGUUAUGACAUAUGACAUAUGUUACUAUAUGGAAAUGUCCCUUUUAAAAUCAUUUUCUUUAAAAGGAUG